Molecule: ribosomal RNA, 465 nt
Filed under: Vreelandella stevensii
Lineage: Bacteria; Pseudomonadati; Pseudomonadota; Gammaproteobacteria; Oceanospirillales; Halomonadaceae
Description: partial 16S ribosomal RNA
Rfam family: Bacterial small subunit ribosomal RNA
Source: RNAcentral
CCUACGGGUGGCUGCAGUGGGGAAUAUUGGACAAUGGGCGAAAGCCUGAUCCAGCCAUGCCGCGUGUGUGAAGAAGGCCUUCGGGUUGUAAAGCACUUUCAGUGGGGAAGAAAGCCUUGGGGCUAAUACCCUCGAGGAAGGACAUCACCCACAGAAGAAGCACCGGCUAACUCCGUGCCAGCAGCCGCGGUAAUACGGAGGGUGCGAGCGUUAAUCGGAAUUACUGGGCGUAAAGCGCGCGUAGGCGGUCUGAUAAGCCGGUUGUGAAAGCCCCGGGCUCAACCUGGGAACGGCAUCCGGAACUGUCAGGCUAGAGUGCAGGAGAGGAAGGUAGAAUUCCCGGUGUAGCGGUGAAAUGCGUAGAGAUCGGGAGGAAUACCAGUGGCGAAGGCGGCCUUCUGGACUGACACUGACGCUGAGGUGCGAAAGCGUGGGUAGCAAACAGGAUUAGAGACCCCUGUAGUC